CAGAGAGUAGUUUAAGAAGAAUUUCAGCUUUGGGUGCUGAUAGUGGGACGUCAGGUCUCCUCUUUGA
Molecule: transfer RNA, 67 nt
Filed under: Ochotona koslowi (Kozlov's pika)
Lineage: Eukaryota; Metazoa; Chordata; Mammalia; Lagomorpha; Ochotonidae
Also listed under: 1 other name
Description: tRNA-Pro
Source: RNAcentral